GAUGAACGCUAGCUACAGGCUUAACACAUGCAAGUCGAGGGGUAACGAGAGGAAAGCUUGCUUUCCUUGUCGACGACCGGCGCACGGGUGAGUAACGCGUAUCCAACCUGCCCCCAACUAGGGAAUAACCUUGCGAAAGUAAGACUAAUACCCUAUAAUUUCCUCAGAUGUCAUCUGACGAGGAAUAAAGAUUUAUCGGUUGUGGAUGGGGAUGCGUCUGAUUAGCUUGUUGGCGGGGUAACGGCCCACCAAGGCAACGAUCAGUAGGGGUUCUGAGAAGAAGGUCCCCCACAUUGGGACUGAGACACGGUCCAAACUCCUACGGGAGGCAGCAGUGAGGAAUAUUGGUCAAUGGGCGGAAGCCUGAACCAGCCAAGUAGCGUGCAGAAUGACGGCCCUAUGGGUUGUAAACUGCUUUUAUACAGGAAUAAAGUUAGCCACGUGUGGUUAUUUGUAGGUACUGUAUGAAUAAGGACCGGCUAAUUCCGUGCCAGCCGCCGCGGUAA
This 506-nucleotide ribosomal RNA is filed under the name uncultured bacterium. Its description in RNAcentral is "partial 16S ribosomal RNA". It matches the Rfam family "Bacterial small subunit ribosomal RNA", at positions 28 to 523 of the family's 1533-position model. The record is from RNAcentral.